RNAcentral lists this ribosomal RNA (253 nucleotides) under uncultured bacterium. RNAcentral describes it as "partial 16S ribosomal RNA". It matches the Rfam family "Bacterial small subunit ribosomal RNA", at positions 524 to 776 of the family's 1533-position model. The record is from RNAcentral.
UACGGAGGGUGCAAGCGUUAUCCGGAUUCACUGGGUUUAAAGGGUGCGUAGGAGGGUAGGUAAGUCAGGGGGGAAAUCUUCGAGCUUAACUCGGAAACUGCCGUUGAUACUAUCUAUCUUGAAUACCGUGGAGGUGAGCGGAAUAUGUCAUGUAGCGGUGAAAUGCUUAGAUAUGACAUAGAACACCAAUUGCGAAGGCAGCUCGCUACACGAAUAUUGACUCUGAGGCACGAAAGCGUGGGGAUCAAACAGG